UACAGAGGGGGCAAGCGUUGUUCGGAAUUACUGGGCGUAAAGAGCUCGUAGGCGGUUUGUCGCGUCUGCUGUGAAAACUCGGGGCUUAACCCCGGGCCUGCAGUGGGUACGGGCAGACUAGAGUGCGGUAGGGGAGACUGGAAUUCCUGGUGUAGCGGUGAAAUGCGCAGAUAUCAGGAGGAACACCGGUGGCGAAGGCGGGUCUCUGGGCCGUAACUGACGCUGAGGAGCGAAAGCGUGGGGAGCGAACAGG
Molecule: ribosomal RNA, 253 nt
Filed under: uncultured bacterium
Lineage: Bacteria
Description: partial 16S ribosomal RNA
Rfam family: Bacterial small subunit ribosomal RNA
Source: RNAcentral